Molecule: ribosomal RNA, 253 nt
Filed under: uncultured bacterium
Lineage: Bacteria
Description: partial 16S ribosomal RNA
Rfam family: Bacterial small subunit ribosomal RNA
Source: RNAcentral
UACGUAGGGAGCAAGCGUUGUCCGGAAUCAUUGGGCGUAAAGCGCGCGUAGGCGGCCCGGUAAGUCCGCUGUAAAAGUCAAAGGCUCAACCUUUGAAUGUCAGUGGAUACUGCCGGGCUAGAGUCCGGAAGAGGCGAGUGGAACUCCUGGUGUAGCGGUGGAAUGCGCAGAUAUCAGGAAGAACACCGACGGCGAAGGCAGCUCGCUGGGACGGUACUGACGCUGAGGCGCGAAAGCGUGGGGAGCGAACAGG